This 728-nucleotide long non-coding RNA is filed under the name Lepisosteus oculatus (spotted gar). RNAcentral describes it as "lncRNA (ENSLOCG00000021377.1)". Lineage: Eukaryota; Metazoa; Chordata; Actinopteri; Semionotiformes; Lepisosteidae. The record is from RNAcentral.
AGAGAGACAGAGAGCAUGCUCUGGGUAAGACAGAGACACAGAGAGACAGAGAGCCUGCUCUGGGUAAGACAGAGACAGAGAGCCUGCUCUGGGUAAGACAGAGACAGAGACACAGAGAGCAUGUUCUUGGUAAGACAGAGAUAGACAGAAAGAGGCAGAAAACAAUGUCUGCACACCGACUGGACACUAAAAUACCUUCAUACUGGGAGACAAUGAGUGGACACUACAGUACACUGAAACUGGGAGACAGUGACUGGACAAUAUAGUACACUGGUCCCGAGAAGACAGAGGGUUGAUACACUCUUCACUCCUUUUCCAUCCACCUCCAGGAGUCCAGAUGGGCUCACAUCCAGAACACCGCAGCCAAGAAGACCCUGCUGCUGGGGACAAUAAAGAUGGCCACCCUGAACCUGUACCAGAUCGUGUGCAAGAGGGCCCGGGACACUGGGGAGGAGCCCAUCGCCCUGGAGGACACCCCCCGACAGCUGCAGAAGAUCCAGACCUAUCUGACGGAUCUGAUGUCCGUCUGGGAGGAACUAAGCAAACCUGACAGCCAGGCUGGGACCACAACGCACGGCUCACAUAGAUAGGCUCUGGCUGCCCCUCGUGCGCCACAAACACACACCCGACAGUCUGCGCUGCCACCUGCUGUUGGGUCCAUCACAUUACAGCAGGGAAAUAUCCUCCCCCAACAUGGCAAAUAAAGAUUUACUGUUUGGAUACCAAGG